RNAcentral lists this long non-coding RNA (630 nucleotides) under Prunus dulcis (almond). Its description in RNAcentral is "sRNA ncRNA". Lineage: Eukaryota; Viridiplantae; Streptophyta; Magnoliopsida; Rosales; Rosaceae. The record is from RNAcentral.
AUGGCUGAUAAGUAUAAUCACAGGGAACCAGUUCAUGGACAUCCCAGAAGAGAUGAAGAAUCGACGGCUUUGCAAUCAGAGGAGCUCAAACGCCAGAAGAGAAUCAAGAUGUACAAAUACAUUGUUAUUUUCAUUGUGGUUCAGCUCAUAGUCCUGCCCGUGUUUGGACUCACUGUGAUGAAAGUUAAGACCCCAAAGUUCAGGUUGGGCAACAUCAAGGUCCAAAACCUCAGCUCUGUGCCAUCAACACCUUCAUUCGAAGCAAGCUUCGCAACCCAAAUUAGAGUCAAGAACACAAAUUGGGGUCCUUAUAAAUUUGAUGCAGGAACUGUCACGUUUAUGUACAAAGGCGUGACCGUAGGGCAAGUUGUUGUUCCUAAGAGCAAGGCUAAGAUGCGUUCUACCAAAAAGAUCGAUGUCACGGUGAGUUUAAAUUCGUAUGGAUUGCCAAGCAGUUCCAAUCUGGGCACUGAAUUGAAGAGUGGGGUGCUGACAUUGAGCAGCAAAGGGAAAUUGACUGGAAAGGUUGUGUUGAUGUUAAUGAUGAAGAAAAGGAAGUCUGCUACCAUGGACUGCACCAUGACAUUCGACUUGUCAACCAAGACUCUCAAAACAUUACAAUGCAAGUGA